AACGAACGCUGGCGGCAGGCCUCAAACAUGCAAGUCUAGGGGGUGUAGCAAUACAUCACCGGCGGACGGGUGCGUAACGCGUGGGAAUAUACCUAUCGAUUCGGAACAACUGAGGGAAACUUCAGCUAAUACCGAAUACGUCCUAACGGAGAAAGAUUUAUCGUCGAUAGAUUAGCCCGCGUUCGAUUAGCUAGUUGGUGGGGUAACGGCCCACCAAGGCGACGAUCGAUAGCUGUUCUGAGAGGAAGAUCAGCCACACUGGGACUGAGACACGGCCCAGACUCCUACGGGAGGCAGCAGUUGGGAAUCUUGGACAAUGGGGGGAAACCCUGAUCCAGCCAUGCCGCGUGAGUGAUGAAGGCCUUCGGGUUGUAAAACUCUUUCGCGCACGACGAUAAUGACGGUAGUGCGAGAAGAAGCUCCGGCUAACUUCGUGCCAGCAGCCGCGGU
RNAcentral lists this ribosomal RNA (450 nucleotides) under uncultured bacterium. RNAcentral describes it as "bacterial SSU rRNA". It matches the Rfam family "Bacterial small subunit ribosomal RNA", at positions 29 to 521 of the family's 1533-position model. The record is from RNAcentral.